AAGGAGAGCACGGUGUGCUCUGAGCCCCUCACCCGCAUCCCGCGGGCUCCCUGCAGGGGCUGAUUGGCCGCACCCCGAGUGCUGCCGGCCCCAAACACGGGCUGGGAAGGCUCGGGGCUGUGGGGAAAAUUGGGAAUGGGGCGGGAAGGGCCGUGUGGAUGGGCUUUGUACCAACCUGGGUGAGGCGGAGACACAGACUCUGCAAACUGGAUGCUGCUGCUGCUGCUGCUGCUGCUGCUGUCCCAAGGAACCUGAGCAAGGAGAAGGGAAGAAGAGGAGCUGCGGCACAGAGCGAGGAGAAUGAAUUCCACAGUGGAGGGAAUCCCAAGGAAUUCCUAGGGAUGGAUAUUGCUGGGAAUGGGUAAUUAACUAAAGACCACUGCAAGUGUCCCGUCACACUGGAUUGAUGCUGUUUGAGAAGCAGCUCUGGCCGUGCUCCUUGAAAAGGGACAGCCUCGUUUUUUAUGGAAUUUUGGAAGCUGAAACAAGACAGACCAACCACUUCUAGGAACCUGACCUGCUGGAAGGCAGAAAUCCACCCCAAAAGCAAUGGGAGUUUUGCUGCUUGGGGGCCAGGAUUUUACUCUGCAAGCACUGGUGGGGUUUCCCCCUCAGAUUUAAUUCAUACAGCCCUCCACUUCAUCUCCUUUAUUCAAGAUGCCCUCGAGUGAGCAGCUCAUUUCCCUGGCAACAACUUCCUGGCACAUGCCGUGCAUUUAAUUCCUGAAGCAGUGACUCUUCUGGGCUGAGGGUGCCUUUUGUCCCUGGUGCAGACGUGACAAGGCAGAGAUGGAGUCCCCGCGUUGAGCUUUUCUCAGCGCACAUCCUGCCAGCCCAAAGCCUCGGGGCUUUUGGGGCGGGCCAUACCUUGUGCAGGUCACAGAGGUGACUUCCCUCACCGCCACUUUUCACUUUUUCCUGUGUGGGCACCACCGGGGUUGUGUGAAGUGCUGGUGGGAAGUGAAAACCGGUUCCACGCAGCCCUGGGACACCUGGCUGUGAUGAAGAGGCUGCUGCUGCAGGGGAACAGUGACCCAGCGUUUCCAAAACCUGACAAUUCUCUGCACCCAGAGCUCUCUGCCCUCUCUGGAUCUCAGGCUGACUUUUGUGCACUCAG
Molecule: long non-coding RNA, 1117 nt
Filed under: Serinus canaria (Common canary)
Lineage: Eukaryota; Metazoa; Chordata; Aves; Passeriformes; Fringillidae
Description: lncRNA (ENSSCAG00000007841.1)
Source: RNAcentral